Molecule: long non-coding RNA, 585 nt
Filed under: Gossypium barbadense (sea-island cotton)
Lineage: Eukaryota; Viridiplantae; Streptophyta; Magnoliopsida; Malvales; Malvaceae
Description: long non-coding RNA (GBAR_LNC020762)
Source: RNAcentral
GGAUAUCACACAUUCUCAUUUAAUAAAGUAGCAUAGAAACACACCAUCAAAAUUAACAAAACACGGAUCAGACCUGAAUAUAUCACAUACCUUGAACAUAUCCCAAACAAUAGUGCAUUAUAUGUUAACAGGUCAUACUUACUUAGCCUAUAUUAUAUCAUACAUACGUACAUAUAACAGAUUAUACCCUAACAGGUCACCAGAUAUCGAGAAUUAUAGCUUAAUCAGGAACAUACGGGCCCUACGGAAGGCUUACGUUUGAUUUGAAUGACGUUUAUGGCCCUAGGAAAAAUUUUCAAUUUUUGGCCCACACACCCGUGCGACCCAAGUCAGUGCCUCACCACACGGCUGUGUGGCAUGCACCUCGUCGAGACACCGUUCUUUGCGUCAUCGGGACGUGUCAAUCUUCUCGUUGGGACGUCAUGAUUUUCUCAUCACAACGUCAACUCUUCCUCAUCAAGACGUUGGCUCGUAAAUACAAGGUACAUUCCAUAAAGGGCCUUAUUGUUCUAAGCUUAGGUUCUAAGCUCUAAUUUCAGAUUCAAUUCUUGCAAUUCCUCUACUUCAAUCUCCUCACCACUCAAU